RNAcentral lists this long non-coding RNA (550 nucleotides) under Brassica rapa (field mustard). RNAcentral's name for it is "long non-coding RNA (BRAP_LNC001955)". Lineage: Eukaryota; Viridiplantae; Streptophyta; Magnoliopsida; Brassicales; Brassicaceae. The record is from RNAcentral.
AAUCAAGAAAGAAUAUUAAAAUGGCGUCUUCCAAAGUAUCUUCCAUGCUUCUCUUUCUCUUUCUUCUCGUUCUUGUGUUUCACCAAAUGGAUAAAGCCCUUGGUGAACAAAUCCAGCUCAGCAACCGCAAACUUAGUUAGUCUUUUUUCGUAUUUAAAUAAUGUCAGCGUUUUUAUUUUAUUAGCUUGGUUUAUUGAGAAGUUAUAAUCAAAAUUUUGUUUUUGGUUAUCUUUCAUUCCGCGUUUUUGUCAUUAAUUUUUUUUAAAAUGGUAUAACAAACUCACAUAUAUUUUAUAAAAUUUUGAUUGCUUUUAGUUUGUAUUCUAAAUAAAUUAUUUUAAUUUUAAAAACAAAAGAUAAAAUCGAUAUAGUUUUGUUUACUGUUCUAGAGCAAAAUUUACUUUAAAAAUGAAAAAAUAAAGCAAGUUUCAUUGUACCUUGAUAGGAUUUUGAGUUGGGAUUAUCCGAAUUGAUAGACAAAUGACUUUACGAAACUUUAACGCUAAAUCACAUAGGUGUAAUUAACUCGUUUGGGUGUUUGUUGUGCAGA